GUCGAGAAUUUUUCACAAUGGGCGCAAGCCUGAUGGAGCGACGCCGCGUGGGGGAUGAAGGGCUUCGGCCCGUAAACCCCUGUCAUUUGCGAACAAUUCUUUUCCGAUAACACCGGAAGAGUUGAUGGUAGCGAAAGAGGAAGGGACGGCUAACUCUGUGCCAGCAGCCGCGGUAAUACAGAGGUCCCAAGCGUUGUUCGGAUUCACUGGGCGUAAAGGGUGCGUAGGUGGUGAGGUAAGUCGGAUGUGAAAUCUCUGAGCUCAACUCAGAAAUGGCAUUGGAAACUACCUUGCUAGAGGAUUGGAGGGGGGACUGGAAUUCUCGGUGUAGCAGUGAAAUGCGUAGAGAUCGAGAGGAACACCAGUGGCGAAGGCGAGUCCCUGGACAAUUCCUGACGCUGAGGCACGAAAGCUAGGGGAGCAAACAGGAUUAGAAACCCGUGUAGUCC
RNAcentral lists this ribosomal RNA (449 nucleotides) under uncultured bacterium. Its description in RNAcentral is "bacterial SSU rRNA". It matches the Rfam family "Bacterial small subunit ribosomal RNA", at positions 354 to 796 of the family's 1533-position model. The record is from RNAcentral.